GACGAACGCUGGCGGCGUGCUUAACACAUGCAAGUCGAACGAAGAGCGAUGGAAGCUUGCUUCUAUCAAUCUUAGUGGCGAACGGGUGAGUAACGCGUAAUCAACCUGCCCUUCAGAGGGGGACAACAGUUGGAAACGACUGCUAAUACCGCAUACGAUCUAACCUCGGCAUCGAGGAUAGAUGAAAGGUGGCCUCUACAUGUAAGCUAUCACUGAAGGAGGGGAUUGCGUCUGAUUAGCUAGUUGGAGGGGUAACGGCCCACCAAGGCGAUGAUCAGUAGCCGGUCUGAGAGGAUGAACGGCCACAUUGGGACUGAGACACGGCCCAGACUCCUACGGGAGGCAGCAGUGGGGAAUCUUCCGCAAUGGACGAAAGUCUGACGGAGCAACGCCGCGUGAGUGAUGACGGCCUUCGGGUUGUAAAGCUCUGUUAAUCGGGACGAAAGGCCUUCUUGC
RNAcentral lists this ribosomal RNA (456 nucleotides) under Veillonella parvula. RNAcentral describes it as "bacterial SSU rRNA". It matches the Rfam family "Bacterial small subunit ribosomal RNA", at positions 28 to 461 of the family's 1533-position model. The record is from RNAcentral. Lineage: Bacteria; Bacillati; Bacillota; Negativicutes; Veillonellales; Veillonellaceae.